Molecule: long non-coding RNA, 3422 nt
Organism: Vicia villosa (hairy vetch)
Lineage: Eukaryota; Viridiplantae; Streptophyta; Magnoliopsida; Fabales; Fabaceae
Exons: 3
Source: RefSeq, a predicted model, not a curated record
AAUUCAAAACACUGUUUGUUUGGUGUACAGUCUCCCCUUCCCCCAUAACUUAACUUUUCUGCUUAGCGACCCUGCAAAUACAAACACAACACACGAAACCUCUCUUCUUUCUCAUGAGAACCACCUCUCUCUUUCCAUUCUUAUUUCUUCAUUCUUCACCUCAACCUUCAACUUUCUUCUUCUUCUACUUUUGAUUCUCAAAAACCUCAAGCAUUUUUCGGUUAUUCAAAUGUCAUCUGUUGCUUUCUAGUUGGGUUCUUUGUCAACUGAAGAUAUGAAGGUUUCUAAGAAUCUUGAUGGAGAUAAGUUUAUGGGUUUCAAUAUUUCGUUGAAAAAUGUGAAAAAGGUAUGAAUCUUGAUGAAUGUUACACAAUGGGUUCAAGAUCGGGGUUGUUUUGAAUGUAAGACAAUGAGUGAGAGAAUGAGAAAGUUAGGGUUUUGAUUUUGUUGGUGUUGAUAAUGAAAAAGGGAUAAUUUGUGGUUAAGAUUUCUAAAAUAGAAAAUUGGUAUGAUGACUUUGAGUGAUGAUAUAUGAUUUUCUAGGAAUUAUGAAUGAUAUGUUAUGGGUAUUAUGUUUAUAUUGAUUUAUAUCUAAAAUAAUUGUUUUAUUUGAUGAUGAUGAUGAUGAAGAUGAUGUUUGAAUAUUUAUGCAUUUCUAUUAAAUGUUUAAUAUGUCAGGAUCAUGAAGAAGCUGAAGAGAUAUAGAGUUUCUGGAAUCCUAUCCUAUGGACUUUUAAACACUGCAUACUAUCUCACAACAUUUCUUUUUGUAUGGUAUGUGAAAAUUUCUGAAAUGCGAGUUUGGUAAGGAAUUGUAAAGUCACUGAGUCUUGGAAUAUGCAUUGUGUUUGUUCAGUGUUGUCAAUGGCAAAUAGCAGAAAAUAGUGUUUCAUUCAAAUUCCGCUGCGCAAUAGUGCUAUAGUACCAUUAUUUGAUAACAUUUUAUACUAAACAGUGUAUCGUGAAACAAUAACAAUAUGUUCAAAUUCUGCUAUGGUAUAAGUAGUAUAGUGCUACCAUUUAACAACAUUGUGUUUGUUAGGUUUUACAUUGCACCAUCACCUAGAAACAUGGGUUAUCGUCUAGCUGUAGAAAGGUAAGAACAUUGUCCUUUUAAUUUUAUCACUUAUGGGUUAUUGAUAUGAUAUAAAAAACCUUCACGAUGAUGUAGAUUUCUCAAACUGUUGGCGAUGGUUUGGGCCUGUAGUCAAGUCACUAAGCUUUAAGAGCUGUCGGGUGAGCUGCCUGAAACCUUUUACAUUGUUAAUUGUCCAAUGCACUUAGAUUUUGUUGUUACCUAAGCUUAUAAAUUUGAUCUAUUAUGCAUCCAUUUGUGAGGUUAGUACAAUGACAACCAAUUGAAAGAAUGAAUUUAGUUAUCAUGCAGAGCGUUGGCAAUAGCACCUUUUUCUAUUGUCUUCUUCCUGCAAAGAAAAUAAAGGAUCCCGAGGCCAAGAAGCCAGAAGAUCGACUCUUACAACAAGCAUCAUUUCAACCAAGCAUAGAAACUGUCACUUUCAAAUUGUUGAUUGUGGGGGAAAAGAAAAUCUGUGAUCAAAGAUAGAGGGGCUUGACAGUGCUUUAUGUUACUAGAUUUAGUCAAUAAAUCAACUUGUAGUUUUAUUGAACCAUCAUAGAAUUGUAGCUUUCUGUUACUACAUUUGGCUAUUUUAUUUCACCACCGAUGUGUGUGUUUGAUACUUACUGUUAGGUGAAUGUAGAAGGAAGCAACAUGGGUGAACCAAUUGAUUUCAACAAACUCGAAGGAACUUGGUGGCUCCAAUAUACUUCUGCUUCUGAUGUUCUCAUUCUAUUCCAAGCUGAUGUUACACUUCCUUUCUUUCAAGUAUGCUAUUACUAAACUUUAACUAUUCCAAGCUGCUGCCACACUUCCUGCACAUGUGAAUGUGAUAUAUGCCUCAGUCUCCUAUCACUAGAAAGGUUGCCUUUACGAGUCGCGACAACGUCGUAAAGUUGUGGAAAUAAAUAUCAGACAUUUUAUGAUACACUACUUAUAUAUGUUUAUCUGAUUUGGUAAGAUGUUGAUAUUGAUAUAUUUACUAACAUACUUUGAUAUCGGGCGAUUUAGGUUUGUGACUAGAAAUUUGUGAUCCUCCAUAUGCGGCUGCCACUGAUCUGCAAUUUCUGCAACAUUAGAAAACUGUGAUUAACAUGUAUAAUCCUAAUCCUCAGGAAGUUAAUUGCAGUCAAUAGUAGGGAAAUUGCGGCAAUGCGGAGGAGAGCAGCCGCUUUUGGCAACAACACGUCACUGUUGCAGCUGCAUCAGAUGCAUUUAUAAUGUUAAAAAGGUGGCUACUUUAUUGUGUUUUUGUUUUCAAUUGAAUUUUUUCAAGAGUGUCAUUCCUUUGUUAAAAAAAUAAAGUGUUCUUACCAAUACUUUAAACAAUAAUGUAUAUAAAAAUAGAGUGUCAUUCCUUUUUGUUUUCAAUUGAAUUUUUUCAAGAGUGUCAUUCCUUUGUUAAAAAAAUAGAGUGUUCUUACCAAUACUCUAAUUCUCACAAUUUUGACAAAUUAUUGUUAAUCUUAAGUUGUAACAAUCUAUGUCAUGAUUAUCUUUUUAGGGAUAUUCUCCUCUAAGCUCACCAGGAGUACUUAAAAGUGACAUUCUGCAAGUGGAUAGCUUUAGCCUUAUUUGACUAAUCUUCAUUUUCUACUUUAUAUUGUGUCAACCUGCAUGUCUUAUCUUUAUAUUAUAAGGGGCAAAGUCAUUUCAAAGGACAUGGAAAUUUAGAUAAGUUUUAUGAAUUACAUUAAUUUUUUAGGAUAUGAUCUAUUUUGGGUAUGAGUUAUUGUGUGUUAGUUUAUACUGACAGUGAUCAAGAAGUUGUUAGUUGGUUCUAAAAAUAUUAAUAAAAUUAUGGCUUUGUGACAAAUCUCACCCUGUUUAUAAUCUAAAACUCGCAUGCAUUCACAUAUAAGUGGUGAUUAACAUUGUACGGGGUGCAAUAAUGCCAUAAUGAAAUGCAAUCACUAAGUCUCCUUUAUUAUCUUCUUCACUGAUGGUGAAUUUGACUUUCAGCAUUUAUACAUAUCCAUAAAAGCAAGAUAACAGUUGAUAUAUUCAUUCAUACUUCAGCAACUUUUUACAUAUUCAUUUACUUGAACAAAACCCCUAUUAAACCUUCCAUUAUAUAUUCGGUCCUUAAUUAUCUAUCCAAAUCUGCCGAAAGAACCCGAAUUUGACUUGACUGAUGGUGUUGUGGAUUCUGGUUCUCACAUAUCUGAAGUGGUAGAAAUAGAAUGACAUGCCAUACAUAAUGUUGAAAUGAAAUAAUAUGGGUGAAAAUAUAUUUUAAAGAGUUAGUAGAUUUAGUAUGUAAUGACGAAUGCUCUUAAUAUUAUAUGAUGUCCCUGUAUGACAAUACAUUUAUUGUGUUACAUAAUAUUGAAACUCAAACUCA